Molecule: transfer RNA, 120 nt
Organism: Drechmeria coniospora
Lineage: Eukaryota; Fungi; Ascomycota; Sordariomycetes; Hypocreales; Ophiocordycipitaceae
Rfam family: tRNA
About the family: Transfer RNA (tRNA) molecules are approximately 80 nucleotides in length.
Source: Rfam
GGCACUUUGGCCGAGUGGUCUAAGGCGCCGUGUUCAGGUUAUCCGACAUCGAAGCAAUUCGACGACGUAUCCCGAUUCGCGGUCUAGUAAUAGGCGAGGGUUCGAAUCCCUCAGGUGUCA